Molecule: ribosomal RNA, 229 nt
Filed under: uncultured bacterium
Lineage: Bacteria
Description: partial 16S ribosomal RNA
Rfam family: Bacterial small subunit ribosomal RNA
Source: RNAcentral
UGCGUAGGCGGAAUAUUAAGUCAGUGGUGAAAUCCUGCGGCUCAACCGUAGAACUGCCAUUGAUACUGAUAUUCUUGAAUGUAGUUGAGGUAGGCGGAAUGUGUAAUGUAGCGGUGAAAUGCUUAGAUAUUACACAGAACACCGAUUGCGAAGGCAGCUUACUAAACUUUGAUUGACGCUGAGGCACGAAAGCGUGGGGAGCGAACAGGAUUAGAUACCCUGGUAGUCC